Non-coding RNA from Ictidomys tridecemlineatus (thirteen-lined ground squirrel), 6884 nucleotides. The record is from RefSeq and is a predicted model, not a curated record. NCBI's taxonomy places the organism in Eukaryota, Metazoa, Chordata, Mammalia, Rodentia, Sciuridae.
UUCUUCUCUCUCUCUCUCUCUCUCUCUCUCUCUUUCUUUCUUUCUGACUUCUUUCCACCAGAAGAUUGGAAACAAUAUUCUUUUCUGAUCAAUUCAGUAAUACAGUGCCCUUCAGUGUUCAGAUGGGCAUUUCAGUGGAGAAGAAAAGAAACUUUGCUACCUGGGAACCGAAGACUACUUAGUGGAGAUGCCUGCAUCCCACACCCGAUGGUCUCAUCUCUCCAAGGCAGUGGCCCCUCAGGAAAUCUUCACCACGGAAGAGGAGCCCAGACUCCGGGGAUCUCCUGGAUGAAUCACAAUUGAUGCCUCCCUUCUCACCUGGAUCACCUUGCUUCCUUCAAGAAAAAAGGGGUGGAAAGAGCCCACAGGAACUGAAAAGCAUUUGAAACUAAAGAGGCCAAGUAACAAAGAGCUUGAAGACAAGCACAGUUCUCAGGCCCUGGAUAGAGGCUGGCAGCGUCAGACCGACAGAACCAAGACGUCGGGUCGGAGGGGCAACGCUUGUGGCUGCGGAGCACAGGAUAUGAAUCAGAGAGAAAGAAGCGAAGUCUUGUCCCAGGAAGAACGGGAAGGACUGGCAGAGGAGUUUUCACUGACUUGUCUUUGGAAAAAGUGGAGAAGAGCCGGUAAACUUGGUUUCCUCACUCCUGCUCAUUAGAUGCGGGUAAAUGAUUGGAAGACAUUGACUUAGCAAGAUGGAAGCAGGUUUAAAAAUAAAAUUCAUAAGAAGUUAUCUUUUCCAGAGUAAUCACAUGCAAUUUCCUUGCAACAAGACAAAAUUUACUUGGGAAGAGGUACUCCUUGUUAAAUGGCCAGGGCUUGGGGUGCCCUUUUCUGCAUUGUUCAUUGAGUGUGAAUGAAGCCAUCAUGGUUGUGAAGAUGAUGAAUGGCUUGGCUUUGAUGUUACCAAGCUUUCACAGUUGCUGCAUCUUCCUACUGAGUUACAUUUCUCAGGACAGUUUUUGAUGUUCUUUUUUCAACUAAGGAAUACAUUUUAUGAUAAUGGUAAUAGGGAUGGAAAUGACGGUGAUUUAUUUCAUUAGAAUUCACCAUGCAAAUGGAAUGGAGAAUAAAUAUUGAGUCACAUUUGUUUUACUUAAUCAAAAUUGAAAAGUCCUUCAAAUUAGGGGAUGCACCAUUAUAGUAUCAACUGUGUCCAGCAAUGUCUGUUCAGUGUAUUACUGUAUUAAAUAUAUUUAUCCUGACAUUGGCUUCUAUUUUGAAAUCUCAGGAAUGAAGUCCAUAAAUCUUCACAUCUAAGAGAAUUUCAGUCAACCCUGCCCAAAGAGUUAAUAUGUAAUAAUUAACCACUCAUCCUCAGUUUUUCUCAACAGAUUUCAUUUUUCCUUAUCAAAUAAGUAUUAUUUUGCUGUUUUAAUUAUUAAUUACUAAUAGUCAUUAAUUUACUAUUCUUUUUUCCCUAUUUCCAACUUUAUUCUACUAAUAAUAUGGUUCAUUAAUAAUGUGUUCAUACCACCCUCAGGCCUGUCUGUUUUUCAUAGAUUACAUGAAUCUGUACAUAUAUACAUUAUAUGCUACAUAUAUACAAACACAUAUUAGGCACAUUAGGCACAUUAGAACAUGUUAUUUAAUAAUUAAAUAGCAAUUUACUGAGAAUUUACAACAGGUGCUAUAUAAAAUUUAUAAUAGGUGCUAAAUUUAAAAAUUUCAAAAUAAUUACUUCAUCAAUACAAAUGUAUUGGCUACAGGUCCAAAGCGCUAUGGUGAAUCUGAGAAAAAAAAAGAUCUUUCCAGUUGUAGAAUCAUAGAAGUCUUCCUGGAAGAGAUGUGUUUUGAUGUGGGGCUUGUUAGAAUGGCUAAGAUUUUGAGGGCCAGAAAUUAGCAAAAUAUUCUUGAUGAAGGAAAAGUGUAAACAAAGGACUUGGUUGGCAAGCAUUAGGAUGAAUUGGAGAAUGCAAAUAGUCCAUUGGGCCAAGACACAGUUUGCUGAUGUUUAGUAGAAAAAAAAAGUGUUUAAAGUAAUCUGAAGUCAAUUUGUGGACUCCAAUACUAGGUAAAGGUGUUUGGAAUUUUGCCAGUUCACUGUGGGGAGCCGAGAGGUUGAUUAACUGUCUACUUUUGAUGAUUAAUUAGCUUAUAAAGUAGACAGGACAGAGUGUGAAGAGACCAGUUAAGAACUUAUUAUCAUGGACUCAGGUGAUCUAUGUGCCAGGCUGAACGAAUGUGUUGGCUGUGAGUGUAGUGAGGAGGGAAUAUUCCACAGAUCUUCUGUCGGCUCACAACAGUGGAUGCAUAAGAACAAGAGCAGUGAAGACUUGUUGAGGCGGAUGAGGUAGAUUAAUUCUUCUUGGAUUUCAACACUAUGGUUUUGUGAAUUUCUGCAGAAAUAGUUGAUUGACUGGCAACAAUGGAAGCAGAAGAAACAAAUGGUGAUAACUGGAGAUCAUAGUUUGAAAAAUGAAAAGGUAUAGAAGGUCCGAAGAUAAGAGAUGACGCUAGGAGCAACAUCAUCAAUAUGACCUCACAGCUGCCACUGGCUCAAUAGAGAUACAGUUGAAGACAGCCAAAGAGAGUGAUUGGCUAGGGAUAUGGGUAGCAAUUUUGGAGUUUCUACGUCAUAAGUUCAAAAUGAAUAGAUUCAACAGAAGUGGAGAGUGGGAUGUGUGGUCACUAAAUGGGAUUUCCUGAAUGAAACUGUUCCAAAUACUGAGGGAACUCAGGUUGUAGUCAUGCAUAUUGAUGACUUAAAGGGAAAGAAAAUAAAUAUCAUUAGAAUCAAUGAAGCCAGGAAAUCCCUUAGUGUGGCCAGGAUGGCAAAGUCCAUAAACUGAGUGGGGACUAAGUUGCAGAAUUGAAAUACUUCCAAAACUGAAACAAAUUCAGAGCCAAAUUUCCUUGAUGUGUCUCAAUCUUAGUGAAGAAGCCUCAAUCUUUCUGCUGGGUUCUGAUAAUUGAAGAAUUCUUGAUUACUUACUAAUUUUUUGGCUCAUCAUUUAAUGCAGUUAUUGUACUUAUUUUCUUAUUCACCAAAGACAAAGGGCUGAUAAAUCCAUAAUCUCUGGACGUAUUUAAAAGAAUAGUCAAAAAUCUUCAUUACCCACAGACUCCACAUUUGUGAUAUGUGCAUUGUGAACAUAUGCAGAAAAAUGAAGAAUGUGUGUCACCUGAUGCCACAUCUUUUACAGUCUUGCACUUUUCGUGGAUAGUUUGGCUCUUUAAAAUGGCUUCCAAGUAUAUUGCUAACAUGCUGUCUGGUGUCCCUUUGUAUAAAAAGACUGCAUUGUGCCUGCUGGACAAAAUAUGUACGGUAGAUAAGCUGAGUUCAGACAUGAGUCACAUGACUGUGACAGUGGGCUCAUUGUUAAUGAAUCAACAUUAUAUAUUAAAUAAAAAGUCUUUAAAUAGAAACACAUGUAAAACGAAGUUAAGUCGUGAUCAGUUGAAAAACCUGUGACCACAGGCUUCUUUCAGUAACUCUGUCCUUCCUCCAGGAGCAGUUCUUCCGUAUUUACUAAUUCGCCAUUCACAGCAACUAUGAAGAGCAUGACUACUGCAAAUAAUAAGAACAGAGUACAACUUGUUUGUUUCAGUGAAUGGUAGCUGUAGAUCCUUCAUAGUACUUCAUGUAUUUGCAUAUCAAUUGAUAUGGUAACAAGAAUUGGAAAUAUUCUUGGGCUGUCAAACCAAUGGAUGCCAUGUAACUAAGUCCCUCCCUUGUCCUAGAUAUUCUAUUGAUAUAGACUGAGUAUAUUUUGGCUGUUUUGGGGGAAAAAUAGUUGACUUUGUAUCUUCCUUAUAAAUAAUUCAUUCCCCCUUACUCUUAUCCUGACCUCCUACCCUGGAGAUUUUCUAGAAUAAUAAUUGUACAGGACCUCCCCUGUGCAAUUCAGUUGGAGUUUUGAACCUAGCAUUCAAAACUUAUUUAUUUCUGUCACAUUUUGUGCUCUUCAUUUUGACCUCUUAUUGGAGUUCUCUGUAAACUUUGAUCUUGUCAUCUGGCAUAGCUUUUAUUUUCUCCCCACUUUCAAUAUCUGCAGAUUUAAUAAGAAUAUAAUCUAUUUUCAUUCAAGGCUUUAAUAAAAUAAACAAGACAGGGGGUCAAGCACAGAGCUCCUGGGCAAACCAUGUAGGUCUAGCCAAUUCACAGUAUAAAAUAGUUCCCAUCUAUACUUUCAUGUGGCCUCCAUGUCUUGUCCUGAGGGAAUAUGGUGGGAGGGUGGAGGUGGGCAGGAAGAACAUGGCAUGGUCAUUGACAAUGAUGAGCCUGACCUAACUAGAGUCCAGGGAGGCAUGUUGGCCAGCAGCUCCGAAUCCAGUUACACUUCAAGGAAGAUAGGUCACAUUAUGCCAUACAGGGAUAGACAUUACUGAGAAUGACAAUUCUAUAAUGUUUUAUUGCUUGUGAAGUUUCCUCACAUUCAUGGUCUCAUAAAUAUGAAAUGGAAUGAGAUAAGUUGUCUAAGAAGAUUUUAGUUUAAGGGAUGAUAAAUUAAACGCAGAAUUUAAAGCAGAUUAUUCUGUUGAUGGAAUUCUACAUGGACUGUGGGAUGACGUGACUAGAGAGAGGGAAAGAAGCGACUGGAGUUCUCCAAGAGGUGAGGAAGCAAAGAACUCAGAUGACGAUGGUAGUGAAAAGUGCACAGGAAAGGACAGAUGAAAGACAUCUGCUGCACAGAGGAGCAAUAGGACUCAGCAACCAAAAAUGGAUUUGGUGAGGGAGGAGGAGACUCAAAUCAAAGAUAACUCCCACACUUUAUACCUGGAAGAUUGAUGGUGCAGAGUGUGGAAAAAAGAGAAAGUGGUAAGCGGACCUUGUGUAGGGUGAGGUUAGUUUCAUCAACCUGUGCUUGGCUUAAUGGUGAUGAAGAGACAAGAGGAAUUCAUAGAUGAGAACCUAAGACAGAAGAGUCACCAUUUUUAACAUAGAGAAGGGUCUUCUGUGGAAUGAGAUUUUCACCUGGAAGCUUAAAUGGCCCCCUUUUGCAAUGCAGAACUACAGGAUAGCAGCAGCCAUCAGUACCCCUUGGUUUUCUAGCACCUAGUUGGAUUAUUGCAGAAGUGAUAUAUCCUUCCAGUUGAACCAAGGAUCGUUUAAUUUUGCAGAUCCAUUUCAGAUGUUGUAAAUGGCAAAUGUGGCUAGAAAAAGUCUUGGAAGAGGAAAUUGGCUAAGAAAAAAUAUGUCUAAAUCAUAGAAUGAGUCAUAGGAAUAAAAUCUUGGAUAUCUUAUUUAACCAUCAGCAAAUUGUCUGACAAAGUCAUCCACCUACUUCUAAAUAAAACAAGCUUUCUAUGUUUUCUUUCCAGUGGAUACUCAAUUUAUGGUCCUUUUAAACCCACCCCACCCCAUACAAAUGAAUACAAAGAAGAGAAUAGAAAGAUGUUAACUUGAAAUCCCAUUAAUCAGCCUUUAGAGAAGACCCUAUUAUUAAGUACUUGAUCAUCAACAUUACCAGACAUUUAUUAAACAUCUGAUUGCAUUUAUGCAAAGAAUACACACACAAGGCAAAAGUCACAUGGGCCUGCCCUCUCUGGGUAUAUAGGCCCUACAAGCAAGAGAGAAAAUAUGGUAAAAUGGCCACAUAGAAGUGCCUAAAUAAAGUGCUUAAAUGGCUCUAUUCAAUUAUGUUAGCAAGGCCUCAGCUCUCCUCUUUUAUCAAGGAACAUAAUUUUCCAUAUAAGUGAACUUUUACAGAAACAAAAGCUUGCCUAUCCAGGUAUCACAACCCCUGCCUUUUCAGUCUCUUCAAAUAAUUUUGGAGGGGUUACUGGAAAUUGAACCACUGAGCCAUAUCCCCAGCCAUUUUUAUUUUUUUAUUUAGAGACAGGGUCUCAAUAAGUUGCUUCUGGCCUUGCUUAGUUGCUAAGGCUGACCUUGAACUUGCAAUCCUCCCGUCUCAACCUGUUGAAUUGCUGGGUUACUGGCCAACACCAUCAUGGCUGACUUCUUUAAACAAUCAGUAUUUCACUACUUGAUGGCUAGGAUUCAUCCUCAUGAGUAGCUGUUAGUGAUUUUUGUGUUCUUGGGUGUGUUUCUCUGAUUUUUGUUCUUUAGUUGUCUUUUGUGUUCUGCUAUGGCAGUUGUAUUUCCAGGUUUUCUUGUGCCUGCUUCUCUGUAGAUCUCCCUCUUCACUUGUAGUUUGUUGCUCCACAGCAUCUUCAGACCUGGGGGUAAAAGCUAACCAGAUUGCCACAAUCGUAAAUGAAAAGGGUCGAUAGAUAAUUCUGAGUGGAUAGGCAUCGCUGUAUUGUGGAGAUGGUGAGAUUGCCACUUAAAGUGUUUGAUUUUCUCGUGUUUGCAUUCUAGGCUGGGAUCCAAAAAGUUGAGGUUGAAGAAAUACUGGCCUCUGGGUAUGAGAGGGCCUGCUGCUACAUCAUACCACUGAUGAUGAGGUCCCAAGUUAACACCUAAUGUGGGGAUAAAAAUGCAAUGUCUCAUGUCUGGAAAGUGAAGAAAUGACAGACAUCACUGUAACCAGCCUGAGAAAAUAAAAAUUUAGCUUAAUAUGACCUUAUAAAAAGAAGGUUAUCCUACUCUAGUUCUGAAUGUCCUCUCCAAAAUAUACAUAGAUAGAGACGCCAUUUUGUUAAUUUCACUGGAGGCCACUUUCUUAUACUUGAGUAAAAGGGUUUUCAUUCUACUAACUGAGGACGGUCAUUUUCAGAGCUUCUGAAAAGCUCUGUUCCCAAUGAGUCACAAAACAGUGCUCAAGAGAGCCAAGCCCUGAAGAGUCAGCUGAAAAUACAAAUUUUGGUAGAGAAAAGGAAAGGGCCACUCUGCUCUCAUGUAUCUGGAUAAGACUACAACCUUCUUUUAUUCCUGAAAUGUUAAGACCAAGAUUGGCUUCAAGUUUCAGGUCUUCUGUUAGGGUUUUUUUUUUUUUUUUUUUCCUGUACGGGGGAAUGGAACCCAGGGGCACUCUCCU